AUAGAAUUUGGAUUUUUCUUCUUCAUAGAGUUUUGGGAAGACUGAGGCAAUCGCUGCUGAAGUCAGUGUUGUAAUGGUGAAUCGAGAUUUUUAAAUGAAGUGGGUUUGAAUACUCUUGACUGUUUUGUAAAAUCGAGUUACGUCUGUGAUUGAAGGAUUAAAGGGGUGUCUAUAGGAUUGAGUAUGCGGAGUGAAUGAAAUUUAUUGGGUUAAUCUAACAGGACAGUCAGUGGAUACAAGAUC
Molecule: long non-coding RNA, 243 nt
Filed under: Physcomitrium patens
Lineage: Eukaryota; Viridiplantae; Streptophyta; Bryopsida; Funariales; Funariaceae
Description: long non-coding RNA (PPAT_LNC013682)
Source: RNAcentral